This 209-nucleotide long non-coding RNA is filed under the name Elaeis guineensis (African oil palm). RNAcentral describes it as "long non-coding RNA (EGUI_LNC022824)". Lineage: Eukaryota; Viridiplantae; Streptophyta; Magnoliopsida; Arecales; Arecaceae. The record is from RNAcentral.
UGAAAAAUUUUUUGUGCAUCAAUAUAGGAAAUCUGAUAUAGAAUAUACUAUCUUAUUUGAUCUAUAUAAUCAUCACUUUUUAAUAUAUAUUUAAUAUUUUUAUUUUAUUUUUUAAAAUUUUAAAUGAUAAAAAUAUCUCUUCUUUUUUUAAAAAAUUAUAACAUCUUAUGAUAUAUUAUGACAUCCUACAUCAAAUUAUGACUUCCUGC